UGCAGUCGUGCGACAGACCAGGAAUUGAUUACUUCGGUUUGAUUUUCCUGACGAUGAGCGGCGAACGGGUGCGUAACACGUGAGAAAUCUGCCCUUAAGUUCGGGAUAGCCCUACGAAAGUAGAAUUAAUACCGGAUGUGGCCCAGGGAGGGCAUCUUCCCCUGGCUAAAGCUCGGUUAUAGAGCGCUUUUGGAUGAUCUCGCGGUCUAUCAGCUUGUUGGUGAGGUAAUGGCUCACCAAGGCUAUGACGGAUAGCUGGUCUGAGAGGAUGAUCAGCCUCACUGGAACUGAGACACGGUCCAGACACCUACGGGUGGCAGCAGUCGAGAAUCAUUCACAAUGGGCGCAAGCCUGAUGGUGCGACGCCGCGUGGGGGAUGAAGGGCUUCGGUUCGUAAACCCCUGUCAUCUGUGAGUAAGACUCCCAAUAAAAGCUUGGGAGGUUGAUAUUAGCAGAAGAGGAAGGGACGGCUAACUCUGUGCCAGCAGCCGCGGUAAUACAGAGGUCCCAAGCGUUGUUCGGAUUUACUGGGCGUAAAGGGUGCGUAGGCGGCUAGAAAAGUUUGGUGUGAAAUCUUCGGGCUCAACCCGGAAACUGCACUGAAAACUAUCUGGCUAGAGGAUCGGAGAGGAGAUUGGAAUUCUCGGUGUAGCAGUGAAAUGCGUAGAUAUCGAGAGGAACACCAGUUGCGAAGGCGGAUCUCUGGACGGUUUCUGACGCUGAGGCACGAAAGCUGGGGUAGCGAAGAGGAUUAGAUACCCUCGUAGUCCCAGCCGUAAACGGUGCACACUUGCUGUGGGCGGAUUCGACCCCGUCCGUGGCGAAGCUAACGCGAUAAGUGUGCCGCCC
RNAcentral lists this ribosomal RNA (849 nucleotides) under Verrucomicrobia bacterium SCGC AAA003-F02. RNAcentral describes it as "SSU rRNA". It matches the Rfam family "Bacterial small subunit ribosomal RNA", at positions 56 to 873 of the family's 1533-position model. Lineage: Bacteria; Pseudomonadati; Verrucomicrobiota. The record is from RNAcentral.